GACAGAGCACUUUUAUUUUGAAAUGGUGACCCCAAUGGCGUUCUCUGGUUCAGGCAUGCGCAGUGAGCAGAAGUCUCUUCCCGUCAUCGCUGUUCGAGGGUCUCCACGGUGAUCCGUCCAUCCCGCUCCUCCAGGCCUCAGUACCCGCGGUUUUACUCCAACUGGGUCGAACGCAGUGAAAAUAAAGUUGUUUGAGGAUAUUGGCGUAGAAAACAUCACAAAACUUGGAAUAUUAUUUUUUUUCUCCCCGCCAACUGCACAAGAUGAAGCUGUGGUGGGGCUGGACGUGUGUGCUGCUCCUCUCCCUCCUGGCUCUCUCUGAGUCCCAGGCUGAAGCUCAGGGAGACCUAGACCUGGAGAUGGAGGAAGCUAUGGUGGAAGACAUGGUAGAAGAUAGGGAAGACUCAGCAGAGAUAGAGGGAGAGGCGGAGAUGGAAGGGGAGGCGGAAGAGGAGAAGGGAACCGAUGCCAACGUCUCCUUCCAGGUCACCUACAAGACUCCUGUUCCCAUCGGAGAGGUGUACUUCUCAGAGACCUUUGAUGACGGCUCACUGGACAGGUGGCAGGUGUCAAAGACGAUGAAGGAAGACGCAGACGAUGAAAUUGCUAAAUACGAUGGUGAGAAACAGACCACCCCCCACUCUACACUCUCCACUUGUGUGUGUUUUAUGGACACACACACGUGUCUUUUUGCCAGUGUGUCAGUGAGAGACGACCCUGUUA
Molecule: long non-coding RNA, 723 nt
Organism: Oncorhynchus masou masou (cherry salmon)
Lineage: Eukaryota; Metazoa; Chordata; Actinopteri; Salmoniformes; Salmonidae
Exons: 3
Source: RefSeq, a predicted model, not a curated record